CACGUCAGCGCACUUUGCUGAUGUGGCAGCAAAUCGCAUCCUAGAAGGCGCGAUUUGCUGCCACGUUAGCAUAGCGCGCUGACGUGG
Non-coding RNA from Gossypium raimondii (Peruvian cotton), 87 nucleotides. NCBI's taxonomy places the organism in Eukaryota, Viridiplantae, Streptophyta, Magnoliopsida, Malvales, Malvaceae. The record is from Rfam.